UGUGGUGUAGCUCAGUGGUAGAGAACUUGUGCAGCAUACAUGAGGCCCUGGGUUUGAUCCCCAGCACCACAG
This 72-nucleotide transfer RNA is filed under the name Marmota marmota marmota (Alpine marmot). It matches the Rfam family "tRNA". Rfam says of the family: Transfer RNA (tRNA) molecules are approximately 80 nucleotides in length. Their secondary structure includes four short double-helical elements and three loops (D, anti-codon, and T loops). The record is from Rfam by way of RNAcentral. Lineage: Eukaryota; Metazoa; Chordata; Mammalia; Rodentia; Sciuridae. RNAcentral also lists the same sequence under 1 other name.